CCUACGGGAGGCAGCAGUGGGGAAUAUUGGGCAAUGGGCGCAAGCCUGACCCAGCAACGCCGCGUGAAGGAAGAAGGCUUUCGGGUUGUAAACUUCUUUUCUCAGGGACGAAGCAAGUGACGGUACCUGAGGAAUAAGCCACGGCUAACUUCGUGCCAGCAGCCGCGGUAAUACGUAGGGGGCAAGCGUUAUCCGGAUUUACUGGGUGUAAAGGGGGUGUAGGCGGGCCUGCAAGUCAGAUGUGAAACCCAAGGGCUCAACCUGAGGCCUUCAUUUGAAACUGUAGUUCUUGAGUACUGGAGGGGCAGACGGAAUUCCUAGUGUAGCGGUGAAAUGCGUAGAUAUUAGGAGGAACACCAGUGGCGAAGGCGGUCUGCUGGACAGCAACUGACGCUGAGGCGCGAAAGCGUGGGGAGCAAACAGGAUUAGAUACCCGGGUAGUC
This 443-nucleotide ribosomal RNA is filed under the name uncultured bacterium. RNAcentral's name for it is "partial 16S ribosomal RNA". It matches the Rfam family "Bacterial small subunit ribosomal RNA", at positions 338 to 795 of the family's 1533-position model. The record is from RNAcentral.